CUACGGGGGGCACCAGUGAGGAAUAUUGGACAAUGGGGGAAACCCUGAUCCAGCAAUGCCGCGUGAAUGAAGAGGGCCUUCGGGUUGUAAAGUUCUUUCACUCGUGAAGAUGAUGACGGUAGCGAGAGAAGAAGCCCCGGCUAACUCUGUGCCAGCAGCCGCGGUAAGACAGAGGGGGCUAGCGUUGUUCGGAAUAACUGGGCGUAAAGGGUGCGUAGGCGGCUAUUUAAGUAAAGUGUUAAAGCCCUGAGCUUAACUCAGGAAUCGCAUUUUAAACUGGAUAGCUUGAGUAUGGGAGAGGGAAGUGGAAUUCCUAGUGUAGAGGUAAAAUUCGUAGAUAUUAGGAGGAACACCAGAGGCGAAGGCGGCUUUCUGGCCCAUAACUGACGCUGAGGCACGAAAGCGUGGGGAGCAAACAGGAUUAGAUACCCGAGUAGUC
This 439-nucleotide ribosomal RNA is filed under the name uncultured bacterium. RNAcentral describes it as "partial 16S ribosomal RNA". It matches the Rfam family "Bacterial small subunit ribosomal RNA", at positions 339 to 795 of the family's 1533-position model. The record is from RNAcentral.